ACUCCUACGGGAGGCAGCAGUGGGGAAUAUUGCACAAUGGGCGCAAGCCUGAUGCAGCCAUGCCGCGUGUAUGAAGAAGGCCUUCGGGUUGUAAAGUACUUUCAGCAGUGAGGAAGGUGGGUAUGUUAAUAGCAUACUCAUUUGACGUUAGCUGCAGAAGAAGCACCGGCUAACUCCGUGCCAGCAGCCGCGGUAAUACGGAGGGUGCGAGCGUUAAUCGGAAUUACUGGGCGUAAAGCGCAUGCAGGUGGUUUGUUAAGUCAGAUGUGAAAGCCCGGGGCUCAACCUCGGAAUUGCAUUUGAAACUGGCAAACUAGAGUACUGUAGAGGGGGGUAGAAUUUCAGGUGUAGCGGUGAAAUGCGUAGAGAUCUGAAGGAAUACCGGUGGCGAAGGCGGCCCCCUGGACAGAUACUGACACUCAGAUGCGAAAGCGUGGGGAGCAAACAGGAUUAGAUACCCUGGUAGGCUGC
This 471-nucleotide ribosomal RNA is filed under the name uncultured bacterium. RNAcentral describes it as "bacterial SSU rRNA". It matches the Rfam family "Bacterial small subunit ribosomal RNA", at positions 335 to 798 of the family's 1533-position model. The record is from RNAcentral.